This is a long non-coding RNA of Bos taurus (domestic cattle), 600 nucleotides long. The record is from Ensembl. NCBI's taxonomy places the organism in Eukaryota, Metazoa, Chordata, Mammalia, Artiodactyla, Bovidae.
UGGCCAUUCAAUAAGUGCCUUCUGCUUUUGUGAGAUGUAACAGAAAAAAUCCGAAUGAAUUUUUCAGCCAGCCUAAUAGAAAAGGUACUGGAGAAAAGUUGUUGAAUGAUGAAGCCAUCACAAGUGGAAGAAUUCAUAUCCCUUUGGACAGGUCAAGAAGUUGACUCCAAACCCACCACCACCAGCUACUUGUAACAAGAUCUCCUGCAGGCUUCUUGGAGCUCUCACAGUCUCUAAGGAUCAGUUCACCACACAGAGGUCUCUGAAGAUGCAAAGGUGUCCACAGUGCAUCCAGACUUUUCAGGAAGCAGGAAUAAAUAAAAAGUUGCUUGGCUUUUCAAGACAGAAGAAGGAUGGAAGAAGGUAAAAGGACUUUCUCGCAAAGGAAAAAGCGAUCAGGAAGAAAUCAGACAGCACAGACAAGACAGCAGAGGCAGCCUGUUGGACAAGUCUCUCCAAGAAGCCCAUUGAAUGGGGCUGCAUUUAUCUUUCCAAUCUAGGAGAAUGAGAGAUGUGACCUCCCCCCUUCCAAAAUAAUAAUAAUGUAACAAUUAUUUUACCCAAGAAACCAAAAUAAAAUGCUUGUGGUCUUGACUUUUA